UUAAUUCAAUCCAUCAAAUUGUGUCAUCUUGCUUUCCUGGAGAAUAUGAAGCUACACUUGGCCCGUUGCCUGGUGUUACUCAAGAUAUAUCUGGAUACAAGAUUGCGCAUCAGCCUAGCAUAUAUGUCCUAAACACUCUGGGUGUAUUGGUUCCAAGUAUCCCUGACAUUGAGACAGGACUGAAGCUAGCUCUUGCUGGUAUCAAACUCUUGCAAAUAAUUUCUCCUUAGUUUCUAAGGAGAUUUUGAUAUAAUUAAUAUAGUACACAUGUGAAUGUGUACACAACAAUGCAAGCAUGCUUUUUUAGUUUAAGGUAUGCCAAAUCUUGCUUGGAGUUUGCUGUUGUAAACAGAUAAAAAAGAGUGACACCUCUCUCCAGCUACUAUUAAGAGAAGCCUUAGCCUAACUUAGCCAAUUGAAUUCAGCAUAAAUUAUAAAGGGCAAGGCCUAGAAAUUUUAUGCCUUGAGCUGUUCUAGUUAGGGACAAGGCUUUAACCCCACUUGUUGACUUCCAACCAUGCAGCAAAAUUUUUUCAACUUGGCUUUUUGGAAAUUUAUCAAUUUU
Quercus lobata is the source of this 565-nucleotide long non-coding RNA. RefSeq lists it as uncharacterized. Lineage: Eukaryota; Viridiplantae; Streptophyta; Magnoliopsida; Fagales; Fagaceae. The record is from RefSeq and is a predicted model, not a curated record. The transcript is spliced from 3 exons.